This 162-nucleotide small nuclear RNA is filed under the name Aotus nancymaae (Ma's night monkey). Its description in RNAcentral is "U1 spliceosomal RNA (ENSANAG00000019422.1)". It matches the Rfam family "U1 spliceosomal RNA". Rfam says of the family: U1 is a small nuclear RNA (snRNA) component of the spliceosome (involved in pre-mRNA splicing). Lineage: Eukaryota; Metazoa; Chordata; Mammalia; Primates; Aotidae. The record is from Rfam by way of RNAcentral.
AGAAUUCCCCUUCUGGAGACACCAUAAUCACGAAGGUGGUUUUCCCAGGGCGAGGCUUAUCUAUUGCACUCUGGAUGUGCUGACCUCUGCGACCUCCCCAAAUGUGGGAAACGCGACUGUAUAAUUUGUGGUAGUAGGGGACUGCGUUCAUGCUUUCCCCUG